CAGCGUCCACAAGUGGGAGUCGUCAUUAUUGGGCCUAAAGCGUCCGUAGCAGGUCAUGUAAAUCUCUUGUGAAAUUGUUACGCUCAACGUAACAGCGCGCAAGAGACACUGCAAGACUUGGGACCGGGAGGAGUGAGAGGUAUUUCUUGGGGAGCGGUAAAAUGCUAUAAUCCAAGAAGGACCACCUAUGGCGAAGGCAUCUCACCAGAACGGAUCCGACUGUGAGGGACGAAAGCUAGGGGAGCGAACCGGAUUAGAUACCCGAGUAGUCC
This 272-nucleotide ribosomal RNA is filed under the name uncultured archaeon. RNAcentral's name for it is "partial 16S ribosomal RNA". It matches the Rfam family "Archaeal small subunit ribosomal RNA", at positions 476 to 747 of the family's 1478-position model. The record is from RNAcentral.